RNAcentral lists this ribosomal RNA (228 nucleotides) under uncultured eukaryote. RNAcentral's name for it is "partial 18S ribosomal RNA". It matches the Rfam family "Eukaryotic small subunit ribosomal RNA", at positions 1208 to 1456 of the family's 1831-position model. The record is from RNAcentral.
GGAAAUCUCACCAGGCCCGGACACUGGAAGGAUUGACAGAUUGAUAGCUCUUUCUUGAUUCAGUGGGUGGUGGUGCAUCGCCGUUCUUAGUUGGUUGAGUGAUUUGUCUGGUUAAUUCCGUUAACGAACGAGACCUUAACCUGCUAAAUAGUGACGCGGUUCAUCGAACCGUGGGCCACUUCUUAGAGGGACUAUCGGAUUCAAACCGAUGGAAGUGUGAGGCAAUAA